GGGGAAUAUUGGGCAAUGGGCGAAAGCCUGACCCAGCCACGCCGCGUGAGUGAUGAAGGCCUUCGGGUUGUAAAGCUCUGUGGGAAGGGGCGAAAGGCAUAUAGAGUAAUAUGAUAUAUGUUUGACGGUACCUAUUUAGCAAGCACCGGCUAACUCUGUGCCAGCAGCCGCGGUAAGACAGAGGGUGCGAACGUUGCUCGAAAUUACUGGGCGUAAAGCGCGUGUAGGCGGACAAGAAAGUCGGAUGUGAAAGUCCUGGGCUCAACCUAGGAAGUGCACCCGAAACUGAUUGUCUAGAGUGAUGGAGAGGAGAGCGGAAUUCCUGGUGUAGAGGUGAAAUUCGUAGAUAUCAGGAGGAACAUCGGUGGCGAAGGCGGCUCUCUGGACGUAAACUGACGCUGAGACGCGAAAGCGUGGGUAGCAAAC
This 426-nucleotide ribosomal RNA is filed under the name uncultured bacterium. Its description in RNAcentral is "bacterial SSU rRNA". It matches the Rfam family "Bacterial small subunit ribosomal RNA", at positions 356 to 773 of the family's 1533-position model. The record is from RNAcentral.